UAAGGGCACCACAAGAACGCGUGGAGCAUGUGGCUUAAUUUGACUCAACGCGGGAAAUCUUACCGGGUCCGGACACACUGAGGAUUGACAGGCAAUAUUAUAAAGUAAAUCUUUGUGUCAUUCGUGGCUCAAGCGAUUUUUUUAUAUGUUAAAUAUGCUAGUCCUUUCAUGAUUAUGUGAUAGGUGGUGCAUGGCCGUUCUUAGUUCGUGGAGUGAUCUGUCUGCUUAAUUGCGUUUCACUAUUGGGCUUAUAUAAUUACGUAUGCUGUUAACGCUUUGACCCCUUUCUACGGAUUGCGCGUGUCUUUGUCCGUUCGACACAUACAAUUAAGCCCUGAAAGCAACGAACGUGACCGCAACCUCUUGUUGCUCUCCAUUUCGAUUUAUACCAGAAUCGUCGCGUAUUAAUUUCUUAAUUUUAAUUUUUUUGCACUUUCGGGUGUAAUUUUUUUUUUUAUGACUGUAUUUUUUUACGUUAAGAGAGCUUUCUAAACUAGAGGGACCGCUGUUACUUUCUUAAACCAGAGGAGGGUUGCGGCAAUAACAGGUCUGUGAUGCCCUUAGAUGUUCCNGGCUGCACACGUGCUACAAUGAUUAUUGCAGUGAGCAUCUCAUUUUUUACACAUCGCAUGCGCGAGUCCAUUUAUUCAUCACUUCGGUGUUGCUUUAAAUGUGCACCUCUGCGCGCGAUAAAGCCUACUUCGAGAGCAAGUGGGUAAUCAAUUAGAAGUAAUGAUUUCCUUUUUUUUCUGCACGCAUAUAUAUGGCACUUAUACCCGGGUAGCCUUGUUGUUACUUCUGUGCGUAUCAGUGAUACUUUUGUGUUUACCACAAUCGUAUAUUACCAUAUGUGCAAUUGUCAAUUCAUGGUGGGGACAGACCAUUGUUAAUUGUUGGUCUCGGUCUUAACUAGGAAUGCCUUGUACGGAUCUUUGGUUCAACAAACCAUCCGGAAUACGUCCCUGCCCUUUGUACACACCGCCCGUCGCUCUUACCGAUGGACUUCUCUGUGAGUUUGAGGGACUGGUAUAUGAUGCCACAGUUUUUUUUAUUCGUAAAAAAAAUUGUCAUCCCACUAUAGAAACUUAAACGAACAGUGGGGUCUAAAGGAAAGAGAAGUCGUAACAAGGCAUCUGUAGGUGAACCUGCAGAAGGAUCAAGCUUGGAUA
This 1169-nucleotide ribosomal RNA is filed under the name Glandulina antarctica. Its description in RNAcentral is "partial small subunit ribosomal RNA". It matches the Rfam family "Eukaryotic small subunit ribosomal RNA", at positions 1159 to 1831 of the family's 1831-position model. The record is from RNAcentral. Lineage: Eukaryota; Foraminifera; Glandulinidae.